UACAGAGGAUGCAAGCGUUGUCCGGAAUUAUUGGGCGUAAAGAGCUCGUAGGCGGUCUGUUACGUCCGCUGUGAAAACCCAGGGCUUAACCCUGGGCUUGCAGUGGAUACGGGUAGACUAGAGGCAGGUAGGGGAGAAUGGAAUUCCCGGUGUAGCGGUGAAAUGCGCAGAUAUCGGGAGGAACACCGGUGGCGAAGGCGGUUCUCUGGGCCUGACCUGACGCUGAGGAGCGAAAGCGUGGGGAGCGAACAGG
This 253-nucleotide ribosomal RNA is filed under the name uncultured bacterium. RNAcentral's name for it is "partial 16S ribosomal RNA". It matches the Rfam family "Bacterial small subunit ribosomal RNA", at positions 524 to 776 of the family's 1533-position model. The record is from RNAcentral.